UGAGGAAUAUUGGUCAAUGGUCGCAAGACUGAACCAGCCAUGCCGCGUGUGUGAAGAAGGCCUUCGGGUUGUAAAGCACUUUCAGUUGGGAGGAAGGGCAGUAACUUAAUACGUUAGUGUUUUGACGUUACCGACAGAAUAAGCACCGGCUAACUCUGUGU
RNAcentral lists this ribosomal RNA (161 nucleotides) under uncultured bacterium. RNAcentral describes it as "partial 16S ribosomal RNA". It matches the Rfam family "Bacterial small subunit ribosomal RNA", at positions 355 to 508 of the family's 1533-position model. The record is from RNAcentral.